This 438-nucleotide ribosomal RNA is filed under the name uncultured Rhodoferax sp. RNAcentral's name for it is "bacterial SSU rRNA". It matches the Rfam family "Bacterial small subunit ribosomal RNA", at positions 942 to 1382 of the family's 1533-position model. The record is from RNAcentral. Lineage: Bacteria; Pseudomonadati; Pseudomonadota; Betaproteobacteria; Burkholderiales; Comamonadaceae.
UGGUUUAAUUCGAUGCAACGCGAAAACCUUACCCACCUUUGACAUGUACGGAACCUUUAGAGAUAGAGGGGUGCUCGAAGGAGAGCCGUAACACAGGUGCUGCAUGGCUGUCGUCAGCUCGUGUCGUGAGAUGUUGGGUUAAGUCCCGCAACGAGCGCAACCCUUGUCAUUAGUUGCUACAUUCAGUUGGGCACUCUAAUGAGACUGCCGGUGACAAACCGGAGGAAGGUGGGGAUGACGUCAAGUCCUCAUGGCCCUUAUGGGUAGGGCUUCACACGUAAUACAAUGGUCGGUACAGAGGGUUGCCAACCCGCGAGGGGGAGCCAAUCCCAGAAAACCGAUCGUAGUCCGGAUUGCAGUCUGCAACUCGACUGCAUGAAGUCGGAAUCGCUAGUAAUCGCGGAUCAGCAUGUCGCGGUGAAUACGUUCCCGGGCCUU